Molecule: non-coding RNA, 293 nt
Organism: Pelobates cultripes (western spadefoot toad)
Lineage: Eukaryota; Metazoa; Chordata; Amphibia; Anura; Pelobatidae
Source: the annotation of a GenBank genome assembly
GGUGAUUAUUAUUAUGCAUGUCCUGGACCUGAGUGGUAAUGUAAUUAUGUUGUGUAUUUUGUAUCAGUCUACUCUCAGGUCCAGUGGGGAAUGCCCCUGGAAUGUGUAUUCAGAAACCCCUUGCAUGGGGACUCAUAAAAGGCAGUGUGUGGCUCCAUUAAAACCAGUUAUACCCCCAGAGCUGAGUGUCGUCCAGUUGCUGAGGAGGAGGGGGGAGAUUCCUGGAGUAAUUUUCUGUGUUUGGCUGUUCCCUUGGAGUAUUCUACUUGUUCCUGAGUGUAUGUUGGAGAAAC